Non-coding RNA from Podarcis lilfordi (Lilford's wall lizard), 3750 nucleotides. Lineage: Eukaryota; Metazoa; Chordata; Lepidosauria; Squamata; Lacertidae. The record is from the annotation of a GenBank genome assembly.
AGAGCAGAGAAAUACGGAGGGGUGGGUGGGAAUUAGACACUCUUCUCUCUUCCUUUGUUUUGACUCUUUUGCUAUCUUAGAUCAGUGCUGCCUAUCCUGAGCUGUUGCACUUUCUAAAUUUAAAACGGGAUGUAACCUAAUAGCAAGUUCUGCGUUUUAGCAACAUCCCUUGAGAGAAAGUGGGGGAGGGGAGGAAUAUUUUAUUAUUUUGACUACCGCGUUCUAUUGUUCGGUAGAACAUGAGCUUAUAAUGGCACGUUUCGAAGAAACACUAUUAAGUAAUCGGAUGUAAAACGUGAGUGCAAUUAUAAAAUAUUAAGCACUUGGCUAAUGCAAUUCUUUGAAUACAAUAUGCUGGUAUCAUAAAACAUUUGGUAGUUGGGGAAGUAAAAUACAAGCUAUGGCUUCAUUAACCUGUUUUCCCCAUUUCUUCAAAAAUGGUAUAGAGUGACAAAAGAGGAUUGCAAUACCUUUAUUGGGACAAACUGCAAAUCACAGAGCAGGGAGCUCAAUUUUGAAAUUCACAGAACUCUGCCUUUUGUAUGAUAUUAAUGGGGGUGGGGUGGGGUUGGAGAGAGGAAAAUAUUUUGCUUGCACAACCAGCUCUGCAGUGUGCUACUGUCUUAAUAUAAUGAUUAUUGCCUAAAGGGCAAUAAUCAGGAAGUUUGUUUCUAGACUAACAUCACAAUCUUGUUCAGAUGAGAGUCCUCUUAAAUUCAAUAUGUCAUCUUGUUAGUAUUUCGGCACACAGUGAGACAUUAAGAAAAGGGCAUCUUAAGAGCAGGGCCAUGAAAAAACUUCACAAUAUUUACCUUUGUGUCCGUGCCACUGAUGGCAAAAGAAGUUUUCCACUAAUGAAUUGCAUUCAUGCACUAAAUAAUCUCCUGUUCACACAUACCACUUAACAUUACAUCAUUUGAUUCCUUGGCACACUGAGUCCAUUGAAAAGUGUUGCACUGGAGGUGAAACAAGACUUCUCUCUGUGGGAUUUGUCUGAUUCACUCAGGCUCAUUAACACACUCAACUUGUCAUCACUUGAUGCUGCAACUAUCAAGUGAUGGCUGGACACACAGUCAGUUCAAAAUGGAAGCUCCUGCUUUGUAGUGAGCCUAAGAAAUGGCCCAUCAAGGCCAGUACCAUAUAAUCAAUGGAGCUUUCCAAUAUGAUUUAUAGAUGCGGGAAAUGCCAACACUGAUGUAAGCAUAGAUCCACAGGGAAACAUGGAGAGGAUUCCAUGAGUGAAGGGAGCAUCUGGCAUCACUUAUCAAUGUUGUUCAAGUGAGACAGAAAGUGAAAGAGUGCCAAUUUGAAUUCAUUGGUACCUUCCAGUCAAUGCAGCUUUCAUUGUGAUUUAUGGAUACGGGAAAUACAAAAACGGACAUUGGCAGAGAUGUGUGAAAACAUCCUUAAGUUGCAUCCCUAUGCACACUUACAUGAGGAUAAGUUUCGCUGAGCUGAACAGAACUAAGGUCACACCCCCACCAUGCAUUUAAAUCACUUAUACCACUUUUGCAGUCAUGGCUUCCCCUAAAGGAUUCUGGGAACUGUAGUUUGCUUAGGGUGCUGAGAGAUUUUAGGAGACAUGCCACAGUGCUACAGGUCCAAGAUCCCUUAACAAACUACGGCUCCCUGGAUUAUUUGAAUGGGCGAAACAUGAAUUCUAAAGUGACAUAAGAGUGUUCUAAAUGUGUACUGUGGCUGUGACCUUACUUCUGAGUAGAAAAGCCUAGGAGUGUUAAAGAUGCUUGUGUAGCAACAUCAGUGGUGGUGGGGACUAUACCUCAGCUGUAGAGCUUUGCAUCCAGAAGAUCUCAUCUUCAAUCCCUAGCAUCUCCAGGUUGCUCUGAGAGAGACCCCCAUCUGAAACCCUAGAGUAGAUAGAUCCAUGGUCUGAGUCAGAAGGUGGCACCUUCCUAUGUUUUGAACCACACAGUACCCUGGCAGUGCCCAGACAGAUUGUCAAACGGAAGCCCUUGCCAGAGAGCUUUGUCUGAGAUACCGGGAACUGAAUCUGGAAUUUUAUAAAUGCAAAGCAUGUGCUACAACCCCUUCCUAUGCAUCAGCCUGCAUUACUGCAGAAAUGGAGACGGGUUGCACAUGGAACGCAUGCUGAUUGCUCUCUGCAUUGCACUGUGGUGCUGGCAGAUAACUCAUUGGCCAGGCUGGUGUUAGGAGCAAGUUGACCCGGACCAGGCAGUUUCUCCUUUCGCACCCCAUUUCGGCCUCUCCUUGCUUACUGUUGUGCAGACACAGUCAAAACAGUUCAAAUGUCACAAAAUAAUUGUUUUGGAAUAUCCGCCCCCAGCCACACACACACACACACACACACACACACACACACCUGUGACUGAAAGGAACAUCUUUUCCUAUGGAAUGCUUUGCUUGUCAAUGUUUUUGAUGGGAGACAGUGAGAGAAUACCAAUUUGGAAUCAAAGGCACUUUCCAGUAAAGGUAGCUUCCCAAUGUGAUUUAUAGAUAUGGGAAAUCAUUUUUUAAAAUGACAUAAGCACAGAUAUGUGGAAACAGGCUGCAAUCUCAUGCAUACAUACUCAGGAGCUUCAUUGAUCUGAAUUAUGACUUGCCUCUGAGUAGGAUCACACUCAGGAAGCCUGCACGGAAAGGACUGUGAAAUUGUUCAAACCACACAGGCAGAGCAGCCUAAUAGUAAUAUUAGCAAGAUUUGGAGGAAACCUUAUAAAUGGCACUUAUACAGAAGAAAAAAGAUGCAUUGUAAUGUAAAUUUCAAAGUGAGGUUUUUAUGGUAUAUUAAUGCGAUGUAACCCUCCCCCCUACUUUGGUUACAUUUAAUUUAAAAUUAGUCAUGUGGAUGACACCCUAUUAUAAGUAACAGCAUUAACAGCAUAUGGGGUUGAGAACAAUUCUUUAAAGAUUAGGUUUUAAACCUGCCAAAUAAAUAAUUAAAAAACUUUCUUAUGCUCACCAGCCUUCUCCCACCUGGUACCUUCCAAAUGCUACACAGAUUGAUUAUUAUGGGCUUGUGGUAACAUGUAGGUGGGCUUUUUCACAGUUGGCACUAGUGUUAUGGAAUGCUCUCUCUGCUAAAUACGAGAGGCCCCAUCAGUAUUGGCAUUCCACGGGCUCCUGAAUUCACACCUGUUUAAGGCAAGCAUUCUCCUGAAUUAAUUGUCUUAACCAUUUAUUUAAAAUGUUCAUUGUGAUGCUUUUUAAUUGUUUGCUUCAUUUUAAAUUUUAUUUAAGUCUUUGUAACACCUCAGUUGAUGGACUAUUGUGUAUUUCAAUUAUGUGUGGAUUUUUAUAGUUAUAAACCACUUAGAAGCCAUUUUGGCAUGUAAGUAGUAUAUAAAUUUAUUAUUAAUAGUAAUAAUCAUUUCACUAGAAAGAGAGAAGAUUAGUCAUAUAAGCACUGAGGGGGGAGAAUGAGAUCAGGGUUUCUGCAGGGGCAAGGUAUCCAUGACCCUCCUUGAGCUACAGCAAGCAUGUCCAAUGAUCAAGAAUGAUGGGAGUUGCAGUCUAGCACCUAGAGAGCCACAGGUUCCUUACCUCCUGGGUUACUGGGUGUGUUGUGAGAGGAAUCAGAAGACUACUUUGCCAUGGAUUUUAGAUUUAUCUUCCAAUAGGUUCCACAUCUCAAUAGAGUCAUUGGCAAAUGAUUGGUGCUAAGGCAAAAGACACAUAAUCAAACACAAGGUGAACUGCUUAUUCAGUUUUCAACCUGAAUAUUCAGUAUUCAAUGGUUACUUGAAGGUUUGACUGUGUCUUGCCUUUAUU